This 761-nucleotide unclassified non-coding RNA is filed under the name Polistes dominula (European paper wasp). RNAcentral describes it as "uncharacterized LOC107071496, transcript variant X2". The record is from RNAcentral. Lineage: Eukaryota; Metazoa; Arthropoda; Insecta; Hymenoptera; Vespidae.
ACUUGAGGUAAUAACAUUCCUACUUCUUCAAAUUCUUUUAUACUGAACACGGCAUAACCUGCAGCAUGCUCAUAUAAAACAUGGCAGGUCAAUCGCCAGGAAGUUAUCUAUCGACGUUAAUAUCGAUUGAUAAUCCUAUCGAUUGUACGAUCGAGUGAUCGAUUAAAAAUUUAUUUUGAUGUGAUUUAAAUGUUAACAAGAUAAUUACUGUCACGGAAAAUUUAUUUAACGAAUCAAAAAUAAAUCCUGUCAAAUCUGAUCCGGAUGCAUCGUUGGAAGUAGGAAAAAACGAGGAAUUAAAUCUCGGUGUAAAAAAAUAUCAUUCAACUGUUCUUCGUCGGCGCAGGAAGUUAAGAAAAAUCAAGGAAUCAAAUCUAGGUGUAAGAAAAUGUCAAUCCACUGUUGUUCGUCGGCGCAGAAGAGUGGGAAGAACAAAGGAAUCAAAUCUUUGUGUAAGAAAAUGUCAUUCUACUGUCGUUGUUCCUCGGCGUAAAAUAUUGAAAAAAAGUAACAACAAUGAGGCAUUAAAAAUACCAAAAAUACCUGCAAAAAUUCUUCGAAUAAUAAAUAUUUUACGGCACGAAGAAUUUUUGGAUAUGGUUUCACGUUAUCUUCAAUCAUCGAUUGUAAAACAAUUGAAAAAAAUGAAAUAUUCGGAAACCAUAUCGCCAAUAAAUUCUACAAUUUCUAAAGCGAAUAUGUAAGAAAAUGUUUUACGAGAAGAUAAUACACACACACACAUAUAUAUAUAUAUUAUAACA